This 628-nucleotide long non-coding RNA is filed under the name Oryctolagus cuniculus (rabbit). Its description in RNAcentral is "lncRNA (ENSOCUG00000037115.1)". The record is from RNAcentral. Lineage: Eukaryota; Metazoa; Chordata; Mammalia; Lagomorpha; Leporidae.
GUGUGAAUAUAUUUUUAACAACUAAUUUUUGUAUUGCUUAAUGAUUAUAACAUGAUUAUAUUAUUUUUUAAAUAACAUGAUUAUAACACCGAUAAUUUAAACUAUAAAUGGUGAUGCAAGACAUUUAUGGAUCUUCUAACUUCUUUUCCUUAGUUUGGAAAUGUCAGCCCUGUGGUGAUGGCUGGCAGCAGCACGGGAAGCACUGCUACUCUUUCUCUAGAGAGCAGAUUCCGUGGAGCAGUUGUGAACUUCACUGUUCUCCUUUACGUUCAAGUUUUCUUAAGAUAAGCACGGAAGGAGAGAUGGAGUUUGUAAAAAGAAUGUCAAAGAAGCAGUGUUUUUUGUAUGAGGACAAGUUCGGGUUCAGUUUAUACUACAAUAGCAGCCAAAUGAAAUGGGUGUGGCUAGAUGGUUCAGCUUUUAUUCUGGACAAAUUGAUGAAAUGCUAGAAUCAAAAAGCUCCGCUGACUCACUGUGCUCACAGCUGGAGAGAUGUCAGAACUCUUUCCCCAGCAUCCGCCACAGAAUUUCUCACUUUACAACCCAUAACACAAUAAGAUGUGUAGAGUAUAAUGUGGAUUAAAAUUAAUUGCUGAGUGAAUAAAUGAGUCUUUGGAAAUGUUAUGCA